Molecule: non-coding RNA, 475 nt
Organism: Rattus norvegicus (Norway rat)
Lineage: Eukaryota; Metazoa; Chordata; Mammalia; Rodentia; Muridae
Source: the annotation of a RefSeq genome assembly
UGUUUUGUUUUCCCUUGCUUUGUGUGUAUGUGUGCGUUUGUGCAGAAUUAGUUCUUUGGAACUAGCACUCUGCAAACCACCCAUGAUGGCCAGAAUACCCCUUCUUUUUAUCCUCCUUACUCUCUGCUCAGGGUCCGUGGCAGAGUCUCAGCUGAGUCAAGAAGCUUCGAUGUUUGGAUCUGUUGGACAAAAAGUCACACUAGUCUGUACUGGAACUGGUGGUGAUGUUGGAGCAUAUGAUGCAUCCUGGCAUAAAGAAAUUCCAGGUGUUGUCCCCAAAUUUGUGACAGUUGGCCAUUCUCGGCCCUUUAACAAUAUGUAUUACCUAACUAUGACAGAACUCCAAGCUGAGGAUGAGGCCACUUAUUACUGCUCAACAUGGGACAGCUUUACAAAUGCUCACACAGUAUUCCAUAUGCAUGAGGAACUGAGACAAAAAUAUUACCGCCAUGCCCACCUGCCUGAUCACUCAUGA